RNAcentral lists this long non-coding RNA (10317 nucleotides) under Pelobates cultripes (western spadefoot toad). Lineage: Eukaryota; Metazoa; Chordata; Amphibia; Anura; Pelobatidae. The record is from RNAcentral.
CUGGGAUGUCGUUGCAUUCCACUGACAGAUCGCAGAGUGCCAUGCACAAAGCAAUCUCAGCACCUGGCACCAACUCUUGAAUCUGGAGCCUAAUGGCAGGUAGACAUGUGCAAUUCGUUUUGGGCCGAAUAUGAAUUCAGACGAAUUUCAGAAAAUUCGGACAUUCGGGUACUUCUGAAUUGCAGAGGUUCCGAAAUUGCCAAAGUUCUGAAGUGCCGAAGUUCCAAAAGCACAGUAUUGCCUAAGUACUAAUAUACUUACCCAGUGGAAGAAGAAGAAUGUUACACUGUAUACAAUUUUAAAUAAAAAGUAUACAAACAUAGCCAGGAUUCAGCUGUAAGCAUUUGCAAUACUUACAACAAUCAAGUAACAUACAUUCAUAUAAAAUGUAAGUUACUUGGCCAGUCAGUGUAAUGACAGGAAUGAAUACGUAGAUAACUCCCUAAUUCCCACGGUAUUAGGGAGCUAUCUACUAAAAGGCUGAAAGACCCGAAUUGGUCUUUCAGCCAAAUUUACUAAUACUAAGUAAAGAUUACUAUUAGUAAAUUAUGCCCCUACUCGCUAUACCGCGAGUAGGGGCAUGUCUAUUAAACAGUGAGCAGCCUGUGGCAGCUCACUUUAAAAAAAAGUCCCCCCUUCCCCUCCUAACCUGAAGGGGGGGACCUAUUGCCCCCCCCCCCCGGCCCCCACCACUGAAUGGCGGGUGGGGGCCCUAAAGUAAAAUAAGGGGGGGGGGACUUAUUGUCCUCCCCCCGACCCCCACCCAUGAGCGGCUGGCCCUAAAGUAAAGUAAUGGGGGGGGGGAACCUAAUGUCCUCCCCCCUGGCCCCCACCCCUGAGCAGUGGGUGCGGGCCCUAAAUACUAAUGGGGGGACCUAAUGUCCUCCCUCCUGGCCCCCACCCCUGAGCAGUGGGUGGGGGCCCUAAAAUACUAAUUAGGAGGGGGACCUAAUGUCCUCCCUCCUGGCCCCCACCCCUGAGCAGUGGGUGGGGGCCCUAAAAUACUAAUGGGGGGGACCUAAUGUCCUUCCCCCUGGCCCCCACCCCUGAGCGGUGGUCUUUCAGCCUUUUGGUAUAUAACGCCCUAAUACCGUGGGAAUUAGGGAGUUAUCUACCAAGCGGCUACAAGAGACGUUCCGAAUUGCAGAGGUCCUGAAGUUCCAAAAUUACCGAAUUUCCGAAGCGUCAAAGUCCCGAAUUUCGAAAUGCCGAACUGAACCGAAAAUUUUUCCCAUGCACAUGUAACGGAUCACCUGGCACCCCGACUGGGUACCAUCGUUAUUGGAUGCUCCUAGCGCUUACAGAGGGCUCCAAGCGCUCCGCAGACAUCGAAACCACCACAGACCCCACGAACCGUCGCAGCUUGGUUGGGGUCUCGCCGUCUUCUACCCACCCUGGACCCACGACAAGGCUCCAGGUUCCAGAGGGUGCAACUCUCCUCCAAGAGAGUGAAGCAGGAACAAGCUCUUAAAAGAGCUUAGAAGUGAUCAUCCAAGGGAGCAUGCAGAACAUAGCAAUCCCUUGUAGUGAUAUAGCAUUUCCCCCAAUAAGAGACAGGACUCUAGAUUGAGGGUGAAGAAGAACUCUAGUUUAAUGACACACACUCUGCUUUUAUGCAAUUCUCCCCUGCAAGGGAGACGCCCACAGACAAUUAUACAAUACCCAAUCACACAAUGGUUACAUACACACAUCUCCUCCCCUUAGUCUGAGAGGUAACCCAAUUAUCCGUACAUUUUAAAACAUACUUUUUACCCAACUUUCAUAACUCUAAAACCAUACAUACAAUAUUUAAAAAGUCACAUAUUAUUAAUCAGCACAUUCCAAAUACAAACAUACCCAAAAAUCAUUCGAAUCCAAAGGACAGGCUAUUUCAGAUGCUGCCAGUUCUCAGUAUACUCUUGCGACCCAUUUUUUUGUCUGCCUGGUGUGGUCCACCAUUUUGACCAAUACACAGAGGCAAUUAGGCAACCAAUUAAUUAGCCUAGUUAUCAAUUUAGAAGGCACAAGCAUGUUUAAAGUACAUAUUGGUUUGUUUCAUCUUGCUUCAAGGCUAUUUUCAAGCUUGGCUUAUCUAUGAAGGAAAAGGCUGUAUGCUGGGCUUAUUCUAGUGCCUGUGAAAGCCAACCUCAUUGUGGAGCACAUGCAGGGGUUGAUGUGUCUCCAAUAACAGAAAAGGAAUGUACACACAGGUUGUGAUUCAUCUCCUCUACCAGUAAAUGCAUGUGCAAGUUAUCUUCUGUCUUGGUGCAAAUUACCCAAAUAUGUACUGCUUAACGGUCUGUGAGCAAUGUUCAGACCACCUGUUUGUUUUUUUUCUUUCUUGCCUUUAAACACACUAAGAUAUUUGGUACACUUGUUUCAGUUAAAGCACUGGUAAGACCUGUUACGUUUUAUACAUACUGGGUCUAUGUGACUUUUUCUAUCAUAUUUCUCCCAAAUAUUCAAUUAUUUAUAUAGUGCCAACUAAUUCUGUGAUGCUGUACAAUAAAUGAACACAAAUAAUUCUACAAAACGUGUUUUGACAUACUGGAACGGUAGGUGAGAGGGACCUACCCAAUUAAGCUUAUCUAAACGCUUGGGUUUUUCCUUGGACAAUGUGAAUUCCUCUACAGUUUUACCAUUAAUAGGGUUGUUUUUAACUCUAAACCAAAGUAUGAAUUAAAUAUGUUAACUCUGCUCAGUUGUGUCUGAUUAGUAUCAGAUCCCCUGCUGUCUGUGCAGUAAUGAGAUAAAAUAAAUUUUACCCUUGAGAUUAUAACUCUUUAUUAGACUGAGAAUUUACCUUCCUGUGAAUCAUCUACAUUUUGGAUCUAUUUUUUUUUUCUACAUAUGAAAGGUGUAUCUUAAAUCGAAUUCUAGGGCUUAUGGGUGAUCUGUUUUUUUCUAUGCUGGCCUGGUUUUAUAAGGGUUAAAUUGUCAUCUACGAAGACAAUUGAGUUUCACCAACAUUUAUUGACUCCCUAUUUAACAUUCCUGAUAUGUCAGAUUCAGGUCAGGUGGAGAGCAAGGGUUCUGGUACUUAGACACUAGGCUGUCUUAGAGUCUCUCUCUUUCCUCUCUACAGUGACUGUUACCAAGUCAGUCUCUAAACUAGGGCUGUCCAACCUGCGGCCCCCCAGAUGUUGCUGAACUACAACUCCCAUGAUUCCCUGGCUAUCUUUUUAAUUGAAAGAAUCAUGGGAGUUGUAGUUCAACAACAUCUGGGGGGCCGCAGGUUGGACAGCCCUGCUCUAAACAUUCAAGCAGCAGCUUGUGAGCCCUUCCGUGGAUUUCUAAGUUCCAUCUUAGCUGUGCUUUGGAUAAUAGGUGUAGUCCCUCCCUUGAAGCAAUCAAUUGUUUUUUUUCUUUUCACUUCCAGUUUUUCUAAGCUGUUCUUUCUGAUUAUACAUUAUUUCAGUAGUUUUACUAAUGAUUGAUUUUAUUGUAAUCUGGAUCUAUAGAUUGUUUUUCCCCCUCGGUCUAUAUUUUAGACUAUACAUAUAACAAUUUUAGGAUGUGUUUCCCUGUCUAGUAUGAAACCCAGACUUGCUGGUAUUAGAAAAUUCACAGCUUUUUUAUUUUUACUUUAUGUCCACAGUGAGCAUUUAGUUUUCAUAGUUUCUUUUAAUAACCUAUUAUACAGGUGAUACUCGAAAAAUUAGUUCAUUUAUUUCAGUAAUGCAACGUAAAAGGGGAAACUAAUAUAUGAGAUAGACGCAUUUCACGCAAAACAAGAUAGUUUAAGCCGUGAUUUGUCAUAAGUGUGAUGAUUAUGGCUCACAGCUCAUGAAAACCCCAAAUCGACAGUCUCAGUAAAUUAGAAUAUUACAUGCAAUCAAUAAAACAAGGAGUGUACAUAGAACAAUAUCGGACCUCUGAAAAGUAUAAACAUGCAUAUGGACUCAGUACUUGGUUUGGGCCCCUUUUGCAGCAAUUACUGCCUCAAUGCGGCGUGGCAUGGAAGCUAUCAACCUGUGGCACUGCUGAGGUGUUAUGGAAGACCAGGAUGCUUCAAUAGCGGCCUUCAGCUCUUCUGCAUUGUUCGGUCUCAUGUCUCAUCUUUCUCUUGGCAAUGCCCCAUAGAUUCUCUAUGGGGUUCAGGUCAAGCGAGUUUGUUGGCCAAUCAAGCACAGUAAUCCCACAGUCAUUGAACCAGGCUUUGGUGCUUUUGGCAGUGUGGCAGGUGCCAAGUCCUGCUGGACAAUUAAGUCUGCAUGCCCAUAAAGCUCAUCUACGGAAGGAAGCAUGAAGUGCUUAAAAAUCUCCUGGUAGACGGCUGCGUUAACCCUGGACUUAAGGAAGCACAGUGGACCAACACCAGCACAUGACAUGGCUCCCCAAAUCAACACAGACUGUGGAAAAUUCACACUGGACCUCUAGCAUCUUGCCUUGGUUUCCAAAUAAGAUGCAAAAGUUGCUCUCAUCCGAAAAGAGGACUUUGGACCACUGUGCAACAGACCAGUUCUGUUUUUCUUUAGCCCAAGUAAGACGCUUCUGACGUUGUUUGUUGUUCAGGAGCAGUUUAACAAGAGGAAUACGACCAGGGUCGGACUGGCCCACCGGGAUACCGGGAAAUUUCACGGUGGGCUGUCGGCACCUGGGGCCAGGCAGGCAGCUGGCUCUUCUGGCGGCCGAAGAGGGAGCUCCUUUGGCGGCCGCAGGGGGAGCUGGCUGUUCUGUCUCUGCUCCCCCUCCCCUGCAAGCCGCUUAGUGAGACCGGAGCCGGAAUAUGACGUCAUAUUCCGGCCCCGGUCUCAUUAAGCGGCGCUCGGGGGGGGGAGAGACAGAACAGCCAGCUCCCCCUGCGGCCGCCAAAGGAGCUCCCUCUGCGGCCGCCAGAAGAGCCAGCUCCCCCAUGCGGCCGCCAUCAGAGCUCCCCACAGGUAGAAAUUGUGUAUGUGUGUGUGUGUCUGUGUCAUUUGUGUGUGUAUCUGUCUGUGUCAUGGUAUGUGUGUGUGUGUAUGUCUGUCUGUGUCAUGGUGUGUGUCUGUCUGUGUCACGGUGUGUGUGUGUCUGUCAUGGUGUGUGUGUGUCUGUCUCUGUCUGUGUCAUUCAAUGUGUGUCUGUGUCAUGGUGUGUGUGUCACUGUCUGUCAUGGUGUGUGCAUCUGUCUGUGUCAUGCAAUGUGUGUCUGUCAUGGUGUGUGUGUGUAUCUGUCAUGUAAUGUGUGUCUGUCUGUGUCACGGUCUGUGUGUGUCAUGGUGUGUGUGUGUCUGUCUGUGUCAUGUAAUGUGUGUCUUCCUGUGUCAUGGUGUGGGUGUGUCUGUGUCACGGUCUCUCUGUGUCGUGGUGUAUGUGUCUAUGUGUCACGGUCUGUCUGUGUUAUGGUGUGUUUCAAGGUGUGUGUGUCUUUUUUAAGGUGUGUGUCUGUCAUGGUGUGUCUGUCUGUCAUGGUGUGUGUGUGUUUCUGUCUGUGUCACGGUCUGUCUGUGUCAUGGUGUGUGUCUGUCAUGGUAUGUGUGUGUGUAUGUGUGUUUUUACUCACCUUUCCCACCCCCCCACGUUGUGCUGGUCUCCCCUCGACUGGCCCUGCCUCUACGGCUGAGAUCAUCAAGCUUGAUGAUCUCAGCCAAUCCGCAAUGACACAGGAAGCACCUCUAGUGACCGUCUGAGUGUCUGUCACUAGGAAGCAAUGUAAACACUGCCUUUUCUCUAAAACGUCAGUGUUUACAUUGAAAAGCCUGCAGGGACAGGCUAUAGACACCAGAGCCACUACAUUAAGCUGUGUGUGUGUGUGUGUGUGCACGCUUGCUUGUGUAUGUGUGUGUGUGCCUGCUACUGAGUGAGCUUGUGUUUUUAUGUCAAUGACCUUAUGUAUGAGGCUGUGUAUCAAUCAGCUUGUGUCAGUGAGAUUGUCUGUGUCUGCAUGUGAGUAUGCUUACUGUAUAAUUAAAAAUUUUACUCUGAAAGGACCAAUAUUUUAUAUUGGAAAAAGCAAUAUAUAUAUAUCAAUCAUCUAGGGUGGCAAGACAUAGCCUUACAUAUUACAUGCGACAAUACAUGGCGCAAUGACUUAUGGGGCUGGCAUAGAUUUUUUUUCCAGGGCUGCUUUGGAAUCCCCAGUCCGGCCCUGAAUACGACAUCUGAAGCCCAUGCCCACCUCUGUGUGGUGGCUCUUGAUGCACUGACUCCAGCCUCAGUCCACUCCUUGUGAAAGUCCCCAACACUUUUGAAUGUCCUUUUCCUUACAAUCCUCUCCAGGUUGCGGUCAUCCCUGCCGCUUGUCCACACUUUUCCCUUCCACAUAACUUUCUAUUAAUGUGCUUUGAUACAGCACUUUGGGAACAUCCAACUUCGUUCACAAUUACCCUUUGAGGCUUUCCCUCCUUAUGGAGGGUGUCAAUGAUGGUUUUCUGCACAACUGUCAGGUCAGCAGUCUUCCCCAUGGUUGUGAUUCCUACUGAACCAGACUGAGAGACCAUUUAAAGGCUUAGAAACCCUUUGCAGGUGUUAUGGCUUGUGACGAAGUGCCCUUCGCCACUUGUUCUUGGAGAGGCCUGCUUGCCAGCCUCUUGCCUUGUGACUAUGACCCCAGGGAAGUAUUGCCAUUUAAAAAGUCUGUUUGGGCUUAUUGGAUUUUGGGACACUUUUUCUGCCCCUUUGAAUCCAUGGGAAGGUGUGCCUCUUCCCCUCGCCCGUUUCCUGUCCCAUUGUUCUCCAGCAGGGCGUUGUCCCAGGGUCACUGCCAGACCAGUUGAAACUGGCUGCUUUGUCCCUCCUCAAUCUCUCUUCAGCCCCUUCUAUUUUUUAACCCCAUGGCGAUUUGAUUUUGUUUCUGGGAUCUGAGCACUGUUCGGAUAUAGUGAGCGAUUAGAUCCAAGCUAUCUGGGUAUAGGUCAAAUGUGGGGGUUCAGUUCUAUAGAAUAUUAGUUAUGUGUUUUAAAGGACCACUCUAGGCACCCAGACCACUUCAGCUUAAUGAAGUGGUCUGGGUGCCAGGUCCUUCUAGGGUUAACCCAUUUUUUCAUAAUUAUAGCAGUUUCAGAGAAACUGCUAUAAUUAUGAAUGGGUUAACUUUUCCCCAAAGCCUCUAGUGGCUGUCUCAUUGACAGCCACUAGAGGCGCUCGUGCUUCUCACUGUGAUUUUUCACAGUGAAACGCUAGAUCCAUAGGAAAGCAUUGUAAAUGCUUUCCUAUGAGACGACUGAAUCGCGCGCAGCUCUUGCGCGUGCGCAUUCAGCCGGCGGGCUAACGGAGGCGGAGAGGAGGAGGAGAGCUCUCCGCCCAGCGCUGGAAAAAGGUAAGUUUUUACCCCUUUCCCCCUUCCAGAGCCGGGCGGGAGUGGGACCCUGAGGGUGGGGGCACCCUCAGGGCACUAUAGUGCCAGGAAAACGAGUAUGUUUUCCUGGCACUAUAGUGGUCCUUUAAUGUAUUUUGUUGCAGUUGUGACUUAGUGAGAUUUUCUGUACCUGGAGAUAAUUGAGUUUACUACACUUACUUAACCCCUUAAGGACCAAACUUCUGGAAUAAAAGGGAAUCAUGACAUGUCACACAUGUCAUGUGUCUUUAAGGGGUUAAGCCAAUUAUCUCCAGGAUAGAGGAGAAGAUAGACCCGUGUGACGAAGUGCCCUUCACCACUUGUGCCUGGAGGGUACUACUGGCUAGCCUCCAGCCUUCCGACUAUGGCCCUUGUGCUGAUAGCUGUAUUUUCCCCUGAAAAAAGGUUUUUUUGUGUUCGGGACUUUCAGUAUGUGAGUAGUGCUACCCCAGAUAGCUAUGCCAUGGAGCCUAUUUGUGUAAUGAAAUACUAUGGAAAAGACUUUGGCUCCAUGACGAUUGAACUGUAUGUAGGUGAUCUGAGCGCCAUUCAGUAAUAAUGUGCGCUCAGAUCUAAGCUAUCUUGGGAUAUGUUGCAUGUAUAUGUUUUAUGUAGUAAUUGUAACAUUGUGUAAUUUUAUGUAUUUUUGUAACCAUGUGGUUAAUUGAGUCUUGCCUCUGUCCUGGGAGAUAAUUUGAUUACUUCCCAAUUAUCUCCAGGAUAGAGAGGAGGGAUUGUGAUGUCACUGCGGGAGUGUUUUGUUUGUAUUGUUUGUGAUUGGCUAAUAUCCAAUAUGUGUCCCGUUGUUCCAUCAGGUCCCUUAGGGCAGUGUCCACCUGGUGGACACUUGCAUAAAUACCGGGCAGGUAGCCCUCAAUAAACCAGACCUACUUGCACCUUUCUUGAAGCCUUGGCUCAUGCUUGGGGGAAGAGAUACCUACACUCUGGGGAUUGCUAUAAUCACUUACUCCCCAGAGUAAACUCUUGUAAGAGCUUGAUUUGUUCCUGCUACGCUCUCUGGAUUUAGGAGAGGUUCACCUACUGGGAGCUGGAUCCUGGCUGUGGAUCCAGGGUGGGUGAGAGACGGCGAGACUCCAGCACAGCUGCAUCGCUGGAAGUGGGGUCCACAGUGCUGAUGGUGUCGGUUGGAGUGCUUGGAGUCCUCGGCAAGCGCUAGGAGCAUCGAUUGGCAGAGGUACUCGGUCGGAGUGCCAGCGGUCCGUCACAACCGGCUACACAGCCUGAAUCUGUGGAACUGUUUUGGGAAGGAAAGCCAUGCUUGCAAUCGGUCAAAUAGGACUUCCACUUAACUUUUGAACCACUGGACCAAUUUGUAUAAUUUUGACAUAUGUUAUGCUGGUUGAGAAUAUGUGACUUUUGUGUGAAUUGCAUGCAUGGUUUGGAAGUUAUGAAUAUUGUGUAUAACUGUAUAUUUUCUGCCUGUGAUAAUUAAGUUAACCCAUUGUGUUCAGUAAUUAUAUCACAGGCAGAGGGGAGGGUUUGUGUGUCCUAACUGGGAGUGUCUGACUGUAUUGUAUUGUGUUUGAUUGGCUGUUCCACAAGACCAUGUGGGUGGUAACCUUGUGAGAAAAGUUGCAUAUAAGACAAUAAACCCUCAGACUGAUGAGUUUCUGUUUUACCCUCAACAAAGAGCCUCGUCUCAAGUGUGGGGGGGAAAAGGCUGAAUCUACACUGGGGAUUGCUAUACGCAGUAUAUUCCCCUGGCUAUAAUCACUAAGCUCUUUUAAGAACUUGUUCCUCCUUCGCUCUCUUAAGAAAGAGAGGUUCGGUCUGCAGUGCUUAUGGUGUCGAGUGGAGUGCUUGGAGCCCUCAGGAAGUACUAGAGCAUCCAUCAACUGAGGUACCCAGUCGGGGUGCCAGGUGAUCCGUUACAUGGCUUACUUAGCUGAUUAGAGCGGGACACUGUGAGCCUACAAUAUUGCACCUUUUCACAAUAUUCUAAUUUACUGAGAUUGUGGAUUUGGGGUUUUUAUGAGCUGCAAGCCAUAAUCAUCGCACUUAUGACAAAUCACGUCUUGAACUAUCUCGCUUUGCAUGUAAUGCGUCUAUCUCAUAUAUUAGUUUCCCCUUUUACGUAGCAUUACUGAAAUAAAUAAACUUUUGCACGAUAUUCUAAUUUUUCGAGUAUCACCUGUAGGUGUCGCUGGAGUAGCUAGUCCAGGCCUACGCUUUAAAAUAAGCUCAAAUGGCCACAAUAUAGAUGGACAGUUUUAUUUAUGAUUUCUGUGUUUCCAUUUUGGAAUGAGCUGCACCCACUACAAUGGUGCUACAACCAGAUCAAACAGACUUUUUUUUUUUUUUUUACAUAUAUUAUCAGUCUUCCACUAGUCAGCAUGUGCUGUGCACAGAGGCUGGGCUUCAUGUCGUGUGUAUGGCUUUACAGUGAGAUUGUGACAUCUCAAUCACACCUGGGGGAGUCUAGACAUUGUGUAAACCAGCAGUUGGUUUGAUUUUUAUCGCACAUGUAGGCCAUAAAUGCUAUGCAAUGGAAAUGGUCAUUCAGGUUCUCUUAUUAGGACCUAGGCUUUUGCAGCUCAAAAUAUGUCACAUCCAGAGGUGUAGAGUUUGGGAUAUAUGCAUUUUUUAACUUCUGUAAUAUAUGUGCUAUUAUGUAUGCAUCUAUAUGUAUAAUUUUGUUUUUGUUGAGUCCUCUUUUUAUUUUUUUCUAGUUAUAGAACAUUACCUAUGAGCAGAUAAUUGAAGCAUGGAGAAAGAUAUCCUGGUCUUCUGAUUUAUCAUGGAUCCUACCCGCAGCAGGAGGAACCAAAAGGUGAUAGCCCUCCAGCUUUUACCUGGCGAUACACACUGUGAGUGCAUUUCUUGUUGUACCAUACUAUACUUUACUAUGUUUGGUGUAUUUGUUUUCCUCGUUAGAUGCUUAGCUGAUUCCCAAAUAUUGUUUUUGUAUUGUGCUGUGUGCAGAUAUAUCUUACAGCUUUCCUUUCAUUGUUUAGAAGCAAUUUCCAAAGAUUAAGCCAUAGUCUACGGUAUUCGGUGUACUGCGAACAUUUUGCAAUCAGGACUGUAAUAAGCUUGCUACCUUAAGUUUUUAUAACACC